Long non-coding RNA from Pantherophis guttatus, 577 nucleotides. RefSeq lists it as uncharacterized. The record is from RefSeq and is a predicted model, not a curated record. NCBI's taxonomy places the organism in Eukaryota, Metazoa, Chordata, Lepidosauria, Squamata, Colubridae.
CACAUUCAUAUACUUUGAAGGACAAUUUAUGGCUAUGAAACUAUUAAAAAUUCCAUUGAAGCCAGUCCAUACCCUGUUCUUCAGAACUAUUGUGCAAGUUGGCCACAUUUCUUUUUCUGAAUUUCUACAUGUAAUCUGUACAAUCUCAGCUGUCCAGAGGAUUAACAGAGGAUGUCCUGCAUUUCUUUCCUUUAAGGCAGCCCAUAGAUGGUGCUUUGGAAUGGAAUUUCCUCUGGUCAAAUAAACAGGACAAUGACAAGAGUAGAAGAGAGUUCUUUUCAUGAUUACAAUCAAUGUAAUUUUUACAAGCAAGGCUAUAAAGCACUUUCCCAACCUGGUGACUUCAAGAAGCAUUGAACUAUAACCUCAUCCCUCUCUACAACUCUCAGCUAGUAUAACUAAUAAUCACAGAGGAUGGGAGCUCCAACAAGGGACUCAAUUUUAGAAACUGCCCCCAAAAUGUAAGGUGUACACAAAACAUAUGGUUCAAAAUUUUGGACUCUAGGACACUUUUAUAAUGUGUGUACAUGGAGUGACAGUCAAAGAGUUCUUCUUAAAAAAUAAUAGUAAUGUAUUA